CUGAAUGAAUGAUACUGUUUUCUGACA
This 27-nucleotide non-coding RNA is filed under the name Cricetulus griseus (Chinese hamster). The record is from RNAcentral. Lineage: Eukaryota; Metazoa; Chordata; Mammalia; Rodentia; Cricetidae.